UACAGAGGGGGCAAGCGUUGUUCGGAAUUACUGGGCGUAAAGGGCGCGUAGGCGGCCUUCUAAGUCGAACGUGAAAUCCCCGGGCUCAACCCGGGAACUGCGUCCGAGACUGAAAGGCUCGAAUCCGGGAGAGGGAUGUGGAAUUCCAGGUGUAGCGGUGAAAUGCGUAGAUAUCUGGAGGAACACCGGUGGCGAAGGCGGCAUCCUGGACCGGUACUGACGCUGAGACGCGAAAGCGUGGGGAGCGAACAGG
This 253-nucleotide ribosomal RNA is filed under the name uncultured bacterium. RNAcentral describes it as "partial 16S ribosomal RNA". It matches the Rfam family "Bacterial small subunit ribosomal RNA", at positions 524 to 776 of the family's 1533-position model. The record is from RNAcentral.